GGUGGAGUGUUGCACGCUGAGGGAAUUGCCCUUAUUAUUUCAACACGAGUGAAGGCAGAAAUUCAUUUUCUGGUGAUGUCCUGAACUCUGCCUCCGGUGUCACCAGCACUCCAGUACUGCCAAAACAAACACAGGCGCCUGACCAAAGAAAGUAAACCAAAGCCCUCCUAGCAGCAUCCACAGGCACACACUCAGCUUCACGCCAGCACCUUCCUGUAGAUCUCGGUAUACUGAUAGCUGAUUUAUUUAGGCAAGAAACACAGAUAAACAGCUAUACAGCAGAGAAGCCAGCUAGCACUGCCACCCAGGGAGCACAAAUGGAGGUGAUGCAGCGCAGACAGCAUUGCUGGCCUUGAUUCCCAAGCAAACACCUGGACAAGCUGCACUGAGGGUGGCAGCAAUAUCUCCGUCCCGUGGUUGGACUGUGGGACAGCAGCUUUUGCACAUGCCCUGCCUGGUGAACAUCCACCUGGGCUCCUGGCAGAUUUGUCAAACAGAGCUAAUUUCUUCCCAAAAUGACUCUAUGGGCAGCAGAGCUGCACAACAAGAGAUGCUUAUCUGGACUUUGGAAACAUCUUCCUGUGAGGUCAUCAUCUUUUCUCUUUCUUCUUAAAUUUUCCUUCAUGGGGAUGAGGCCACGGCGUGUGCCGCUUGAAACUGCUGACAGAUCCCAGACAGAAGAUGGAAGAAAAGGGCAGAACAGUCAGUGCAGUGGAUUUGCUGGAGCAGGUCUUUUUGAGGAGCCUGGGUGUCCCUCCUCUGCUAUCCUUUCCCAAGAGCCAGGAUAAGAAGCAGUCACGAGCAUAGUGGCAGAGAAGGAAAAAGGGCUGUGGAGGCAGUACACCUGCAGGGAGUGAUUUCUACCUGUCUCCCGAGAGGGGUGCUCAGUUUUUGGGGCUCAGUGGGAGAACAGCUUUGAGUUUAGCUUCAGACCAAGCCAAGUUUGGUUUUGCAGACACCUUUCACACCUACCGCCUUUUCUGGUAUGCUAGAAGAGAAGUGUGAGUUGGAUGUGGCCCCUUGGUACCAGCAGCCAUACAAACAGCCCCACAGCUGUGGGACUGCCUGCUCUCUUCUCUGCGCCAGCAGUAGGUAUCUCCUGGGCUACCAACACUCUUCCUGCCACAACCUUCCCUCUGGCCUGCCUUGAAAUCAGUGACCCUGCAGCCCUUCCAGCUUUACUUUAAUAUUCAUCUCCCACGGGGCAGUUGCUGAGUGACGAGCACAGUAGGCAGAGGAGGACCAAGCCUCCGUGACUGUGCAGGUGAUGGACUUUGAGCCUUCAGAGCUGGGUGCUUGAGGAGCUGCAUUCAGAUAUAAGCACCUCCAAGACUAUGUCUGUCCUGUUCCUUGAGAGGUCUCUUUUCCUUUGCCUAAGGAGAGCAAGGCUGGUGCUGUCUCAGCCCCAACACGAAGGUCCCCGUCUAGGGAUCAGGGACACUCAGUACCUAGCAGUCCCUGGGCACAACAUGCUUGGUCCAGUGAUGCUGCUAUGGCUGACAACUCACCUGGCUGCUCUCCCCAGAAGCAGAGAGGGAGCCUGUCACUGUCACAGCCCCAGCAGUGUAUCUAAGGCAGUGUUUAGCUGCAUGGAGAGGGUCACCUGCUGGGUUGUGUUUCAGCAUCGUGCUACGUUUUGGUCUCUUUUUCCCUUUCUCUGCACCACACUCCUGGUACAAAGGAUUUGACACCAGGUGAUUAUCUGAAACUGGAGACACAAGGUGCUGGUGCAGCUCUGGUUACACAUAUUAUGCCGAAGCCUUCAUUCUUACUAUCAUGAGCAUGUCGCCCCACAGUUUUUCUUUGUUUGUUUGUUUGUUUACAUAAUUAAUGCAGUGAAAUGAAAACACUGUCCAUAUAAUUGUGAGGACGUCAGAUGUUCAAACAUAAUAUACUCCAUUCUAAGGUGACAGAUAUGUGAGGUAGUCUUCGUUUUUAAGUAUUCACGUCUUGAAAAUAAUAUAAUUACACUCAUCUAUUUAGGGUUUCUGUGAUUAUUGGCCAUCACCUCUUCCUGGACCUGAGGCUUCCCUGAGGUCAAAGUAGAAAUAUUCAGCAACAGCCUGAACCACACAGAUGUUGCAUAUCUACUUGACAGUGUUUACUAUUUCCAGGAUUGUUUUAAAUAAGUAAUGCUUUCAAACAGAGCGGGUCGCCUCCAUAAAGAUGGCCUCGUAUAGCAAGAGAAGGAAAGAAGCAGAGAAGAAAGGAAGAGCGAUUAAAUCAGGUCCCAGAGAGAAGCAGAGGAUUGCUGGCUUAGAAGAAAGCUUGCUUCCCAGGUUUGAGUGUUAGCUGAACCACACAGAGGACUGGCUGUGACCAGACAAAAUGGCCUUGCUGAAUUAAGCCAGACAGAAGAAACAAACCCCCUAAAAAAUCAUGUCCCAACAGGUAAAAGGAGAUCCUGCCCAGAUAUUUUAGGAAAUCCCAGACAAAUUAAGCAAAAAGCUGAGCUGCAAAUGAAAGAAAAAGGGAUGUGAGCAAAGGCAGCAAGUAAACAACAAAAAAAAAACAACAACCCAACACAGUUUUUUAAAGGAGGCUAAAAAAAAUUCAUGUCAAGGAAGAAAGGGGGAAAAGGGAAGGAAGGAAAGGAGCUUCCCUCCUGCCAAGUGCACACAGCAACCUCCACUCUCUCAGAAGCAUUAUUUCUAGCCAAAGCCAAAUGAAAGGCUCCUGGCUGAACUGAAAUGAAAACAUCCAUUUUUGAGAUUGGCUCUGCACAUUGCCAGCACAGAGCUGAUGAGAGGCUACCAGCAGCUCCGGGCAAGCGAGGAAGGUGGGAAGCAGGAAGGGAAGCUUGAAAAGUUUGAAAAUAACUAUCAGCUAAUUUUGACUACAAAAAGGAUCAUCCUAGUUUAGAAUGAUUGCUGCGAUGCUGUAGAAGGCAUUUUUCCUGUUAUUCCUAUUUGAAAGUGCAGAUAAAGGGAGUGCAACUCCUUCCCUCUGCAAAUAAGUCACUACGCAUGGCAAAGUACUGCCAGGCACUCUAUUGCCGAAAUGCAUUGCUGAAAGCUGGGCAGCUGCCUCCAAGCAAGCGGAGAGCAGCUGCUGUCACCUCGGGUGUCUCUUCCACAAUUGCAAUGGGAAUCCCUAUGGGCAAUCUCCAUGGGCAAUCUCCAAGUUUUGGAUCCAGGAAUGGGAAUCCCCAGGCCUCUUAGGAAGACCAAGUAGUAGAAAUUCCUCCUAAAUCCCAUGUGCUUUCUCUUCCCUGGGAAUUCUCUGCUCGUAGGCGUCCCCCACAGCACGAGGGAGCUCCACGAGGCUCCCUCCAGCUUGCGCAGUGAAGGAAGCUGGAUGGAAUUUCCCCUGUCAUGCUGACACCCAGGCACCACGCUGUGUGCUACAACUUGGCACGUGUGACUCGUCCUCUCUUUACAGAUGAGCAUGAGCUCGGCGCAAUUUCACCACAGUCAAGAGAGUCCCUGGAAAAAAUGGAAAUGGAACUCAGGCCAAAAACUUCCUGCAAACAGUGCUAGGAUCAUUGGACCAUAUCUCUUAUUUGCAUUGGUGCAAGUCAAGAUGUGUGUUUCUUGCGGAUAGCGUGAGGAGCUGACAUGGAGGAAGAUCAGAGCCUGGGUUUAACUAACACCAGAAGUCGUAUUUACGUCAGCCAGAAAAGGGUGUCUUCGCUUAGAUAUUGUAUUCAGGGUGUUCUGUAGCUCUGAGGUUUUAUUUUCCUUUUCCUAACCAUAAAAAAUAAUAAAAUGAGAUUAACAUAAAGAUAAGAACCUGAGCCAAGGGGGCUGGCACCGACUCCCAGCCAGCUGCCCUACUCCUUCCCUGUCACCUCCUGGGGCAGCCAGGCACUGCAAGAGGCACUGCCCACUGCAGGUGAGCCCAUGCCACAUCCUGCUUUGCCCUCCACCACUGCCACCCCAAACCCAAGAAGCAGAGGUUGUGCUGAUCUUCUCAAGUCCUAAAAGCAGCGAUUGGGAAAGCAAAAGAGCAGAGAGUUAGCCACUUAAAUCCGGACAUUAGCUCACGAGAAGCUGACUCCUUCAGAUCCAGAAGAGGCACAGCUGUGUUGUUUUGCUACCAUGAACAGGAGAUUGUUUAUAUGCAUAGAAAUACAUUUUUUAAAAACUCAUAUCUCAGCAUCUACUCUGCUGGAAGCAGGUCAAGCUGGGAAGCGUUCUAGUUCAUGCUGACAUAUACUGAAAGCUGUUCGCUGUUUCUGCUGGGAGUCUCUGAAAAGAAAGUACAGCGCUUGGGAAUUAAUACCAGAAGGGAGAACGUCAUGUUAAGGCAGG
This is a long non-coding RNA of Gallus gallus (chicken), 4253 nucleotides long. Lineage: Eukaryota; Metazoa; Chordata; Aves; Galliformes; Phasianidae. The record is from Ensembl.